AUCGUAUAAGGCAAAUGGUUAGCCAACUGACCUUCAAUCAGCUGCUGGCGGGUUCGAUUCCCGCAUACGAUACCA
RNAcentral lists this transfer RNA (75 nucleotides) under Pectobacterium phage Arno162. RNAcentral's name for it is "tRNA-Glu". It matches the Rfam family "tRNA". Rfam says of the family: Transfer RNA (tRNA) molecules are approximately 80 nucleotides in length. Their secondary structure includes four short double-helical elements and three loops (D, anti-codon, and T loops). The record is from RNAcentral. Lineage: Duplodnaviria; Heunggongvirae; Uroviricota; Caudoviricetes; Andersonviridae. RNAcentral also lists the same sequence under 3 other names.